Molecule: ribosomal RNA, 246 nt
Filed under: uncultured bacterium
Lineage: Bacteria
Description: partial 16S ribosomal RNA
Rfam family: Bacterial small subunit ribosomal RNA
Source: RNAcentral
CGGAGGCUAGCGUUGUUCGGAAUUACUGGCGUAAGCGCGCGUAGGCGGCUUGGCAAGUGAGGCGUGAAGUCCUGGGCUCAACCCGGGACGGCGCUUCAGACUGCUUGGCUUGAGUCCGGAAGAGGGUGGUGGAAUUCCGAGUGUAGAGGUGAAAUUCGUAGAUAUUCGGAGGAACACCGGUGGCGAAGGCGGCCACCUGGUCCGGAACUGACGCUGAAGUGCGAAAGCGUGGGAGCAAACAGGAUU